Molecule: ribosomal RNA, 492 nt
Filed under: uncultured bacterium
Lineage: Bacteria
Description: partial 16S ribosomal RNA
Rfam family: Bacterial small subunit ribosomal RNA
Source: RNAcentral
GACGAACGCUGGCGGCGUGCUUAACACAUGCAAGUGGAGCGACGAACCAGGGCUUGCCCUGGGGCAGAGCCGCGAACGGGUGAGUAACACGUGGGUAACGUGCUCCGAUGACUGGGACAACUCGGGGAAACCCGGGCUAAUACCGGAUGUGCCCCCUCACAUCAGUGAGGUGUGUUAAGGAAUCUUCCUCUUCCGCAUCCGGAUCGGCCCGGGGCGCAUUAGCUUGUUGGUGGGGUAACGGCUCACCAAGGCUGCGAUGGGUAGCUGGUCUGAGAGGACGAUCAGCCACACUGGGACUGAGACACGGCCCAGACUCCUACGGGAGGCAGCAGUGGGGAAUCUUGCGCAAUGGGCGAAAGCGUGACGCAGCAACGCCGCGUGGGGGAAGACGGCCUUCGGGUUGUAAACCCCUUUCAGUUGGGACGAAGGUCGGGCGGUUAACAGCCGUUCCGGCUGACGGUACCUUCACAAGAAGCCCCGGCUAACUACGUG